This 466-nucleotide ribosomal RNA is filed under the name uncultured bacterium. Its description in RNAcentral is "partial 16S ribosomal RNA". It matches the Rfam family "Bacterial small subunit ribosomal RNA", at positions 28 to 507 of the family's 1533-position model. The record is from RNAcentral.
GAUGAACGCUGGCGGCGUGCUUAACACAUGCAAGUCGAACGGUGAAAGAGAGCUUGCUCUCUGGAUCAGUGGCGAACGGGUGAGUAACACGUGAGCAAUCUGCCCCUGACUCUGGGAUAAGCGCUGGAAACGGCGUCUAAUACCGGAUACGAGCUGCGAAGGCAUCUUCAGCAGCUGGAAAGAACUUCGGUCAGGGAUGAGCUCGCGGCCUAUCAGCUAGUUGGUGAGGUAACGGCUCACCAAGGCGUCGCCGGGUAGCCGGCCUGAGAGGGUGACCGGCCACACUGGGACUGAGGCACGGCCCAGACUCCUACGGGAGGCAGCAGUGGGGAAUAUUGCACAAUGGGCGAGAGCCUGAUGCAGCAACGCCGCGUGAGGGACGACGGCCUUCGGGUUGUAAACCUCUUUUAGCAGGGAAGAAGCGAAAGUGACGGUACCUGCAGAAAAAGCACCGGCUAACUACGUG